Molecule: ribosomal RNA, 2200 nt
Filed under: Cohnella ginsengisoli
Lineage: Bacteria; Bacillati; Bacillota; Bacilli; Caryophanales; Paenibacillaceae
Description: partial 23S ribosomal RNA
Rfam family: Bacterial large subunit ribosomal RNA
Source: RNAcentral
GGUUAAGCUAUUAAGGGCGCACGGAGGAUGCCUAGGCGCCAGGAGCCUAAGAAGGACGCGGCGAACAGCGAAAUUGCCUCGGGGGAGCCGUAAGCAGGCUUUGAUCCGGGGAUGUCCGAAUGGGGAAACCCGGCUGGGGUCAUGCCCAGUCACCUAUGAGUGAAUCCAUAGCUCAUAAGGAGGCACACCCAGGGAACUGAAACAUCUAAGUACCUGGAGGAGAAGAAAACAAGAGUGAUUCCGUCAGUAGCGGCGAGCGAAAGCGGAUUAGCCCAAACCUGAGAGCUUGCUCUCAGGGGUUGUGGGACGUCUCACAUGGAGUUACAAAGGGAUAGGUUAGGCGAAGAGAUCUGGAAAGGUCCGGCAUAGAAGGUAAAAGCCCUGUAGCCGAAAGUCUAUCCCCUCCGAGACGGAUCCCGAGUACCGCGGGACACGAGAAACCCCGUGGGAAUCCGGCAGGACCAUCUGCCAAGGCUAAAUACUCCCUGGCGACCGAUAGUGAAGCAGUACCGUGAGGGAAAGGUGAAAAGCACCGCGGGAGCGGAGUGAAAAAAGAACCUGAAACCGUGCGCUUACAAGAAGUCAGAGCCCGAUCUAGGGGUGAUGGCGUGCCUUUUGUAGAAUGAACCGGCGAGUUACGUUUACGUGCGAGGUUAAGUCGGAGAGACGGAGCCGCAGCGAAAGCGAGUCUGAAUAGGGCGCUUUAGUACGUAGUCGUAGACCCGAAACCGGGUGAUCUACCCCUGUGCAGGGUGAAGGUGAGGUAACACUUACUGGAGGCCCGAACUCGUGAGCGUUGAAAAGCUCUGGGAUGACGUGGGGGUAGGGGAGAAAUUCCAAUCGAACUCGGAGAUAGCUGGUUCUCCCCGAAAUAGCUUUAGGGCUAGCCUCGAGAUUUAGCAUCAUGGAGGUAGAGCACUGAUUGGGUGCGGGGCCCGCCAAGGGUUACCAAGUCCAGUCAAACUCCGAAUGCCAUGGAUGUAUGCUCGGGAGUCAGACGGCGAGUGCUAAGAUCCGUCGUCAAGAGGGAAAGAGCCCAGAUCAUCAGCUAAGGUCCCCAAGUGUGUGUUAAGUGGGAAAGGAUGUGGAGUUGCGAAGACAACCAGGAUGUUGGCUUAGAAGCAGCCACCAUUUAAAGAGUGCGUAAUAGCUCACUGGUCGAGUGACUCUGCGCCGAAAAUGUAACGGGGCUAAACACACCACCGAAGCUAUGGCAUGUACACUUUGUGUACUUGGGUAGGGGAGCGUUGAAUGCGGGUUGAAGUCGGACCGAGAGGACCGGUGGACUGCAUUCAAGUGAGAAUGCCGGUAUGAGUAACGAAAAGACAGGUGAGAAUCCUGUCCGCCGAAAGCCUAAAGGGUUCCUGAGGAAGGUUCGUCCGCUCAGGGUAAGUCGGGACCUAAGGCGAGGCCGAAGGCGUAGUCGAAGGACAACAGGUUGAAAUUCCUGUACCACCGUAAUCCGUUACGAGCGAUGGGGGGACGCAGGAGGGCAAGAACGCGAGCUGAUGGAAUAGCUCGUCCAAGCAGUGAGGGGUGUGUGUAGGCAAAUCCGCACACUAAUACCUUGAGCUGUGAUGGGGAGGGAAAAUUACAGUACCGAAGGUUCCGUGCUCACGCUGCCGAGAAAAGCCUCUAGCCAGGAGAAGGUGCCCGUACCGCAAACCGACACAGGUAGGCGAGAAGAGAAUUCUAAGGCGCGCGGAAGAACUCUCGUUAAGGAACUCGGCAAAAUGACCCGUAACUUCGGGAGAAGGGGUGCCUCGGUAGGGUGAAUAGCCCAGGGGGCCGCAGUGAAUAGGCCCAAGCGACUGUUUAGCAAAAACACAGGUCUGUGCGAAGCCGUAAGGCGAAGUAUACGGGCUGACGCCUGCCCGGUGCUGGAAGGUUAAGGGGAGCGGUUAGGGGCAACCCGAAGCUGUGAACCGAAGCCCAGUAAACGGCGGCCGUAACUAUAACGGUCCUAAGGUAGCGAAAUUCCUUGUCAGGUAAAUUCUGACCCGCACGAAUGGCGUAACGACUUGGGCGCUGUCUCAACGAGAGAUCCGGUGAAAUUUUAGUACCUGUGAAGAUGCAGGUUACCCGCGACGUGACGGAAAGUCCCCAUGGAACUUUACUGUAGCUUGUAUUGAACUCCGGGUACGGUCUGUACAGGAUAAGGUGGGAGCCUGAGGAAGCCUGAGCCGCAAGCUUAGGUGGA